CUUCGCAUGGACGAAGUCUGACGGAGCAACGCCGCGUGAGUGAUGAAGGUUUUCGGAUCGUAAAGCUCUGUUGUUAGGGAAGAACAAGUACCGUUCGAAUAGGGCGGUACCUUGACGGUACCUAACCAGAAAGCCACGGCUAACUACGUGCCAGCAGCCGCGGUAAUACGUAGGUGGCAAGCGUUGUCCGGAAUUAUUGGGCGUAAAGGGCUCGCAGGCGGUUUCUUAAGUCUGAUGUGAAAGCCCCCGGCUCAACCGGGGAGGGUCAUUGGAAACUGGGGAACUUGAGUGCAGAAGAGGAGAGUGGAAUUCCACGUGUAGCGGUGAAAUGCGUAGAGAUGUGGAGGAACACCAGUGGCGAAGGCGACUCUCUGGUCUGUAACUGACGCUGAGGAGCGAAAGCGUGGGGAGCGAACAGGAUUAGAUACCCUGGUAGUCCACGCCGUAAACGGUGAGUGCUAAGUGUUAGGGGGUUUCCGCCCCUUAGUGCUGCAGCUAACGCAUUAAGCACUCCGCCUGGGGAGUACGGUCGCAAGACUGAAACUCAAAGGAAUUGACGGGGGCCCGCACAAGCGGUGGAGCAUGUGGUUUAAUUCGAAGCAACGCGAAGAACCUUACCAGGUCUUGACAUCCUCUGACAAUCCUAGAGAUAGGGACGUCCCCUUCGGGGGCAGAGUGACAGGUGGUGCAUGUUUGUCGUCAGCUCGUGUCGUGAGAUGUUGGGUUAAAGUCCCGCAACGAGCGCAACCCUUGAUCUUAGUUGCCAGCAUUCAGUUGGGCACUCUAAGGUGACUGCCGGUGACAAACCGGAGAAGGUGGGGAUGACUCAAAUCAUCAUGCCCCUUAUGACCUGGGCUACACACGUGCUACAUGGACAAACAAAGGGGAGCGAAACGGGGAGGUUAAGCCAAUCCACAAAUCUGGUCUCAGUUCGAUCCCAUUCUGCAAUUC
RNAcentral lists this ribosomal RNA (951 nucleotides) under Bacillus subtilis. RNAcentral's name for it is "bacterial SSU rRNA". It matches the Rfam family "Bacterial small subunit ribosomal RNA", at positions 364 to 1313 of the family's 1533-position model. The record is from RNAcentral. Lineage: Bacteria; Bacillati; Bacillota; Bacilli; Caryophanales; Bacillaceae.